CCUGUGUCUCUCCACCAAAUUCACGACUAAAGACAAAACCAUAGGUAAAAUUAGAAAGAUGUUAAGUCUCUUACUGACUUUGCUCAAAUAGAAAAGCUAAGAACUCAAUUGAGUAUAAUAUUUUAGGUACACGCGAACACACACUCCACUUGGUAUUUCAUUUUUUCACUGCCAUGAAUGUGAAGGGUAAAUUUAAGCCCAUGCAUAAGAGAGAGAGAGAGAGAGAG
RNAcentral lists this unclassified non-coding RNA (227 nucleotides) under Hevea brasiliensis (rubber tree). The record is from RNAcentral. Lineage: Eukaryota; Viridiplantae; Streptophyta; Magnoliopsida; Malpighiales; Euphorbiaceae.